GAGUUGCACUCGUGCGAAGCGUUAUACUCGAGAGUGGCUGGAGUGUAAAACGUCCAUGCAAGAAUGAGCUGCUCUUGUGUCGCCACUAUGUAGGCGACACUAUUUCGCUCAGUGAAUUCAGAUAUCGUUUUUCAUCGCAUCCAGCGGACGAUGCUGUGAGGUUGCCAUCGUGCUGCUGACACGUUGACAUUCAAGGUUCCCGACAUGCUCUCGAGCUCUCUAACCAUCUUGGAUUGACAAGUCGCAGAAAUUGUCUAGUAAUGUUUCGUCGACGAUUUGCUCAUCGAUCCUUUUAUAUAAGAGGCAUAUACUGGGACGAAGCGUACAAAGCAAAUCCAGAUGUCAAAUACGAGAACGGGGAAUGGAAAACAGAUCAAGCGUACGAGAAAUUAAUCGAGACAGCGUUGUUCCGAAACGUGUUAGAUCGGCCAGCGGGAAAAGAUUAAAAGCAACAAUUUGAAUAAGAAGCUUAACACGGCCGGCACAAUAGUAAUUCCGUGCAAUUUACAUACUUAAGCGCUGGCUGAAACGGGUCACCGCGUCAUUACGUAAAUACUCGAGAGAAAGAGGGUGUUUCACACGGAAAUAGAUAUAAAGAAUCCAUCAUAUCGUUACACAUUCUAAAAGAACUCAAAUUAACAACUUCACUACACAACACACUAACGUUCUAAGCUCAGGUCCGUCGAUAAUACAUUUCCUCAUCAAAAUCUAUAUGCCCAGCUUCGUAACACUUGCAAAGAUGCACCUCUCGACCACGCAGAAUCACCAGGAUAGGAGAUCAAGCAAACAAGGAACAAAGAAGGAAGACAAGUGGCCUAAUAGCGAGUAGAAGCAUGUAU
Molecule: long non-coding RNA, 839 nt
Organism: Eufriesea mexicana
Lineage: Eukaryota; Metazoa; Arthropoda; Insecta; Hymenoptera; Apidae
Exons: 5
Source: RefSeq, a predicted model, not a curated record